CUGUCUACGCAUGAGCAAGAAACUCGCGUGUGUUGUUCUUUUCAGUUUUUUCCAGUAUUAUUGUAAACUUGUAUUCAUGUGAUAUAUUUACUGAUUAUCGUGCUAAAUUUGGAGGACUAAUGUGAUUGAAGAUCUGUGCCGUCAAUAAAACUUGAUGCUAUCCUGUCUUUGAUUGAUUAUGACGAGUAGCGAGAGUAGAGGAUCCUCCGGUCAGGCCCGAGGAAAUACAGCACGAAACUCUAUGUGUUUUCUAUGAGAGGUCCUAAUUUAUUGACCUAAACAAACAAAUAAAAUCUGGUGCUACAGCAAAAAUGCUAGGCCGUAGAGAAUAGAAAAGCUUACGACGAAAACGAAUACCACCAUAACAAAACUAGUUUACCAAAUAUCAAAUUAAUUUUAUCGAAAAUGACCUAUAAUUGUCACUAAUGGGAUAAGUUCGUAGAUUUAUUUAUCUAAAAAUAUUUCCUAAUAAAACCAAUCAUUUUUUUUGACGAACAACAAGCAUUUACAAUUACUUUUGAUCUUUCUAUUUUCAUGCAUGCACGUGUACAUAUUGAUAUUUCAUAAUGUUUACAUUUAAUCCAAUUAUCUACUUCAUGAAUUUUUACAAUUACUGGAAAAAACAU
This is a long non-coding RNA of Eurytemora carolleeae, 626 nucleotides long. RefSeq lists it as uncharacterized. NCBI's taxonomy places the organism in Eukaryota, Metazoa, Arthropoda, Copepoda, Calanoida, Temoridae. The record is from RefSeq and is a predicted model, not a curated record. The transcript is spliced from 3 exons.